This 76-nucleotide transfer RNA is filed under the name Gammaproteobacteria bacterium. Its description in RNAcentral is "tRNA-Ile". It matches the Rfam family "tRNA". From Rfam's summary of the family: Transfer RNA (tRNA) molecules are approximately 80 nucleotides in length. Their secondary structure includes four short double-helical elements and three loops (D, anti-codon, and T loops). Further hydrogen bonds mediate the characteristic L-shaped molecular structure. tRNAs have two regions of fundamental functional importance: the anti-codon, which is responsible for specific mRNA codon recognition, and the 3' end, to which the tRNAs corresponding amino acid is attached (by aminoacyl-tRNA synthetases). tRNAs cope with the degeneracy of the genetic code in two manners: having more than one tRNA (with a specific anti-codon) for a particular amino acid; and 'wobble' base-pairing, i.e. permitting non-standard base-pairing at the 3rd anti-codon position. Lineage: Bacteria; Pseudomonadati; Pseudomonadota; Gammaproteobacteria. The record is from RNAcentral.
GGGCCUAUAGCUCAACGGUUAGAGCAGAAGACUCAUAAUCUUUUGGUUCCAGGUUCGAAUCCUGGUGGGCCCACCA